This 497-nucleotide ribosomal RNA is filed under the name uncultured bacterium. Its description in RNAcentral is "partial 16S ribosomal RNA". It matches the Rfam family "Bacterial small subunit ribosomal RNA", at positions 28 to 507 of the family's 1533-position model. The record is from RNAcentral.
GAUGAACGCUGGCGGCGUGCCUAAUACAUGCAAGUCGAGCGAACGGACGAGAAGCUCGCUUUUCUGAUGUUAGCGGCGGACGGGUGAGUAACACGUGGAUAACCUACCUAUAAGACUGGGAUAACUUCGGGAAACCGGAGCUAAUACCGGAUAAUAUUUUGAACCGCAUGGUUCAAAAGUGAAAGACGGUUUUGCUGUCACUUAUAGAUGGAUCCGCGCUGCAUUAGCUAGUUGGUAAGGUAACGGCUUACCAAGGCAACGAUGCAUAGCCGACCUGAGAGGGUGAUCGGCCACACUGGAACUGAGACACGGUCCAGACUCCUACGGGAGGCAGCAGUGGGGAAUCUUCCGCAAUGGGCGAAAGCCUGACGGAGCAACGCCACGUGAGUGAUGAAGGUCUUCGGACCGUAAAACUCUGUUAUUAGGGAAGAACAUAUGUGUAAGUAACUGUGCACAUCUUGACGGUACCUAAUCAGAAAGCCACGGCUAACUACGUG